Molecule: ribosomal RNA, 698 nt
Filed under: uncultured bacterium
Lineage: Bacteria
Description: bacterial SSU rRNA
Rfam family: Bacterial small subunit ribosomal RNA
Source: RNAcentral
CUUAUCAGCAGAAGCAGCCAGCUUGCUGGAAGCGGAAGAGGGAAAGGCUUAGUGGCGGACGGGUGAGUAACGCGUGGGUAACCUGGCCCAUACAGGGGGAUAACACUUAGAAAUAGGUGCUAAUACCGCAUAACAACAGAAAGCGCAUGCUUUUUGUUUGAAAACCAAGGCGGUAUGGGAUGGACCCGCGUCUGAUUAGCUGGUUGGCGGGGUAAAGGCCCACCAAGGCGACGAUCAGUAGCCGGCCUGAGAGGGUGGACGGCCACAUUGGGACUGAGACACGGCCCAAACUCCUACGGGAGGCAGCAGUGGGGAAUAUUGCACAAUGGGGGAAACCCUGAUGCAGCGACGCCGCGUGAGUGAAGAAGUAAUUCGUUAUGUAAAGCUCUAUCAGCAGGGAAGAAAAUGACGGUACCUGAGUAAGAAGCCCCGGCUAACUACGUGCCAGCAGCCGCGGUAAUACGUAGGGGGCAAGCGUUAUCCGGAUUUACUGGGUGUAAAGGGAGCGUAGACGGCAGUGCAAGUCUGGAGUGAAAGGCGGGGGCUCAACCCCCGGACUGCUCUGGAAACUGUACGGCUGGAGUGCAGGAGAGGUAAGUGGAAUUCCUAGUGUAGCGGUGAAAUGCGUAGAUAUUAGGAGGAACACCAGUGGCGAAGGCGGCUUACUGGACUGUAACUGACGUUGAGGCUCGAAAGCG